CGCAUCAGCCAUGGCGCGGUGAAUACGUUCCCGGGCCUUGUACACACCGCCCGUCAAGCCAUGGGAGCCGGGGGUACCUGAAGUGCGUGACCGCAAGGAGCGCCCUAAGGCAAGACCGGUGACUGGGGCUAAGUCGUAACAAGGUAAC
RNAcentral lists this ribosomal RNA (148 nucleotides) under uncultured bacterium. Its description in RNAcentral is "partial 16S ribosomal RNA". It matches the Rfam family "Bacterial small subunit ribosomal RNA", at positions 1345 to 1500 of the family's 1533-position model. The record is from RNAcentral.